CGGGAGUAAUGUCUGGGAAACGGCCUGAUGGAGGGGGAUAACUACUGGAAACGGUAGCUAAUACCGCAUAACGUCGCAAGACCAAAGUGGGGGACCGUUCGGGCCUCAUGCCAUCAGAUGUGCCCAGAUGGGAUUAGCUAGUAGGUGGGGUAACGGCUCACCUAGGCGACGAUCCCUAGCUGGUCUGAGAGGAUGACCAGCCACACUGGAACUGAGACACGGUCCAG
Molecule: ribosomal RNA, 227 nt
Filed under: uncultured bacterium
Lineage: Bacteria
Description: partial 16S ribosomal RNA
Rfam family: Bacterial small subunit ribosomal RNA
Source: RNAcentral